This 497-nucleotide ribosomal RNA is filed under the name uncultured bacterium. Its description in RNAcentral is "bacterial SSU rRNA". It matches the Rfam family "Bacterial small subunit ribosomal RNA", at positions 28 to 526 of the family's 1533-position model. The record is from RNAcentral.
GAUGAACGCUAGCGGCAGGCCUAACACAUGUAAGUCGAGGGGUAGUUACUUUCGGGUAAUGAGACCGGCGCACGGGUGCGUAACGCGUAUGCAAUCUACCUUUUACAGGGGAAUAGCCCAGAGAAAUUUGGAUUAAUGCCCCAUAGUAUGUAUGAAUCGCAUGGUUUAUACAUUAAAGUUCCAACGGUAAAAGAUGAGCAUGCGUCCCAUUAGUUAGUUGGUAAGGUAACGGCUUACCAAGACGAUGAUGGGUAGGGGUCCUGAGAGGGAGAUCCCCCACACUGGUACUGAGACACGGACCAGACUCCUACGGGAGGCAGCAGUGAGGAAUAUUGGACAAUGGGCGCAAGCCUGAUCCAGCCAUGCCGCGUGCAGGAAGAAGCAUCUAUGGUGUGUAAACUGCUUUUGUACGGGAAGAAACACUCCUUCGUGAAGGAGCUUGACGGUACAGUAAGAAUAAGGAUCGGCUAACUCCUUGACAGCCGCCGCCGUAAAAC